This 1638-nucleotide long non-coding RNA is filed under the name Homo sapiens (human). RNAcentral describes it as "HSALNT0191128". Lineage: Eukaryota; Metazoa; Chordata; Mammalia; Primates; Hominidae. The record is from RNAcentral.
AAGAAGAGUGCCAAAGAAAAAGUUGUUUGACUUCAUUUACCAGUGUCUCCUGGAGGUAGAAGAUGACAGAGGAUUGUAUGCAUCUCUUGCAAAAAUUACAAGCAAUCUCUCACCAGGCUCAUUCGGCUCCAGAGUGUAAGAGGGAGAGAAAUCCUACUGACCAGGAGCCUUCUAAAUGGUGACUAUGGAGAGAUGCCAAGGAAAUUGAAUGGUGCCAAAUGCAAAAUCCUCAAGUUGCUCUCUAAACCAAAGAAAUUCACUGGGAGCCGGAUUUCACUGAGGCAGGAAGUAUUUCACCUACAAAGAUAGAGCACAUGUGGAGAUUAUAUUUGGGACCAGGGAAUAAAGAAGAAAAGGAAAGCUACAUUGUAUUUCAGUUGUAUUUCAGGAGACAGUAAAAAGAGAACGUUCCCUGAAGCAAAAAUAACCAAUGACCUUUGGUGCAGGAAAAAUAUUUAAGCAAUAGUUUAUAAUUAAGUUUAUUUAAAUUUUUCCCUUAUAGGAAAUUAACUGCUGAAAAUCUGUUACUCCUUCAGCAAGUUCAAUGCACAUAGAACGCAUAGAGAAAGAGAGAUCCAGAAUUAUUUCAAAUUUCAAAAAUUAUAUUUAUUUGAAAUAACCCUGGAUCUAAACUACUACAAAUGUUUAUUGCAUACUCAAUAUGCAUAGGAGGUCAGGGGAAUACCAAGAACUCCAAGUUACAGAACAAGUCUUCUAAGUGCUUAAAAGUGCCAGUUAGGGAGAUAAGUUAUGGGCUCAUAGAAAAAGAACCGUAAUAAUGCUAAGGAUCCUGUGGUAAAUGCUAAAUGAAUAACAGAGUCAUUCAUUUUUGGAGACCUCGUCCCUCACUCAUGGUCUUCAGGUAAGAGAUAGAACUUAAAUCAUGUCUUAAAGGAUUUUGGAAAUUAUAGGAAAAUAAGGGACAUGAAAAGGAUCCUAGCAUUAAAAAAAAAGUACAGAUGCAGCAAAGUACCAAGCACAUCUAGCAGACCUUGAGCAGAUCCUUUUAACUGCAACAAAGGGUUUGUGCCAACUAGGAGAAAACUUUGAGUAAGUAGGUUGGGCCUCUGCUCUGAAGGGCCUUCACUACUAAAUUAAGAUAUUUGGACAUUAUCUUUUUAGGCAGUAAAGAAUCAAAGCUGGUUUCCCGUGAAGCAACAUGAUUAAAGUAUGCUUUCUAAAAAUCUUUCUUUUUUUAUGAAGAAAAUUUGCAAAACACAGAAAACCACCAAAAAUAGAAUAAAAAUUGGCGUGCACCUAUAAUCCCAGCUACUCAGAGACUGAAGCAGGAGAAUCUCUUGAAACUGGGACAUAGAGGUUGCAGUGAGCCGAGAUCGCACCACUGCGCUCCAGCCUGGGUGACAGAGUGAGAUUUUGUCUCAAUAAAUACAUACAUACAUACAUACAUACAUACAUACAUACAUAAUAGUAAAAUAAAAAAUGAAAAUAAAAAUUACUUGGAAAUCCAUCAUCCAUAAAUAUGUUAAACUUUGAUGGCUAAAUGUACAGCAUUUUAUUUCUGGUCAUAUAUUUAUGUGUGUGCACGUGUGUGUGUGUGUGUGUGUGUAGACUGGGAUUAUGUUUUUUUAAUUCAACAUUAUGUUGUGGGUUUUUCAACAUGAUUUUUAAUAAACUGCA